AGUGAACGCUGGCGGUAGGCCUAACACAUGCAAGUCGAACGGCAGCACAGUAAGAGCUUGCUCUUACGGGUGGCGAGUGGCGGACGGGUGAGGAAUACAUCGGAAUCUACUUUUUCGUGGGGGAUAACGUAGGGAAACUUACGCUAAUACCGCAUACGACCUACGGGUGAAAGCAGGGGAUCUUCGGACCUUGCGCGAUUGAAUGAGCCGAUGUCGGAUUAGCUAGUUGGCGGGGUAAAGGCCCACCAAGGCGACGAUCCGUAGCUGGUCUGAGAGGAUGAUCAGCCACACUGGAACUGAGACACGGUCCAGACUCCUACGGGAGGCAGCAGUGGGGAAUAUUGGACAAUGGGCGCAAGCCUGACCCAGCCAUACCGCGUGGGUGAAGAAGGCCUUCGGGUUGUAAAGCCCUUUUGUUGGGAGAGAAAAGCAGCAGGUUAAUACCCCGCUGUUCUGACGGUACCCAAAGAAUAAGCACCGGCUAACUUCGUG
RNAcentral lists this ribosomal RNA (492 nucleotides) under uncultured bacterium. RNAcentral's name for it is "partial 16S ribosomal RNA". It matches the Rfam family "Bacterial small subunit ribosomal RNA", at positions 29 to 507 of the family's 1533-position model. The record is from RNAcentral.